This 371-nucleotide ribosomal RNA is filed under the name uncultured organism. RNAcentral's name for it is "bacterial SSU rRNA". It matches the Rfam family "Bacterial small subunit ribosomal RNA", at positions 526 to 896 of the family's 1533-position model. The record is from RNAcentral.
CGUAGGGGGCAAGCGUUGUCCGGAUUUAUUGGGCGUAAAGAGCGUGUAGGCGGCCGCACAGGUCCGUUGUGAAAACUGGAGGCUUAACCUUCAGACGUCGAUGGAAACCGUGCGGCUAGAGUCCGGAAGAGGAGAAUGGAAUUCCUGGUGUAGCGGUGAAAUGCGCAGAUAUCAGGAAGAACACCCGUGGCUAAGGCGGUUCUCUAGUACGGUACUGACGCUGAGACGCGAAAGCGUGGGGAGCGAACAGGAUUAGAUACCCUGGUAGUCCACGCCGUAAACGAUGGGUGCUAGGUGUGGGGGUGUCGACUCCCUCCGUGCCGAAGCUAACGCAUUAAGCACCCCGCCUGGGGAGUACGGCCGCAAGGCUA